RNAcentral lists this ribosomal RNA (497 nucleotides) under uncultured bacterium. Its description in RNAcentral is "partial 16S ribosomal RNA". It matches the Rfam family "Bacterial small subunit ribosomal RNA", at positions 28 to 507 of the family's 1533-position model. The record is from RNAcentral.
GAUGAACGCUGGCGGCGUGCCUAACACAUGCAAGUCGAGCGAACGGACGAUAAGCUUGUUUUUUUGCUGUUAGCGGCGGACGGGCGGGUAACGCGUGGAUCACAUUCUUAUAUUUCUGGGAUAAUUACGGGAAGAAGCAGAUGAUACUGGAGCAUAUUAUGUACCGCUUGAUUCAAAGGAGAAUGACGGCCUUGCCGUCUCUAUUAGCUGAUUCCGCGCUGCAUUAGCUAGUUGGUAAGGUAACGGCAUACCAAGGCGACGAUGCAUAGCCGACCUGAGAGGAUGAUCAGCCACACUGGAACUGAGACACGGUCCAGACUCCUACGGGAGGCAGCAGUAGGGAAUCUUCCGCAAUGGGCGAAAGCCUGACGGAGCAACGCCGCGUGAGUGAAGAAGGUCUUCGGAUCGUAAAGCUCUUUUAUUGGGGAAGAACAGAUGUGGGAUAAACUGUGGACAUCUUGACGGUACCUAAUCAAAAAGCAACGGCUAACUACGUG